GAAAAUAGCUCAGUUGGUAGAGCAUCACCUUGCCAAGGUGGAGGUCGCGGGUUCGAAUCCCGUUUUUC
RNAcentral lists this transfer RNA (68 nucleotides) under Maribacter polysiphoniae. It matches the Rfam family "tRNA". Rfam says of the family: Transfer RNA (tRNA) molecules are approximately 80 nucleotides in length. Their secondary structure includes four short double-helical elements and three loops (D, anti-codon, and T loops). RNAcentral also lists the same sequence under 10 other names. Lineage: Bacteria; Pseudomonadati; Bacteroidota; Flavobacteriia; Flavobacteriales; Flavobacteriaceae. The record is from RNAcentral.